Molecule: long non-coding RNA, 433 nt
Filed under: Rosa chinensis
Lineage: Eukaryota; Viridiplantae; Streptophyta; Magnoliopsida; Rosales; Rosaceae
Description: sRNA RchiOBHm_Chr6g0265681
Source: RNAcentral
CGCAAGCGUAGGAAGCUCACGUACGAAUCUGUACCGGUUUCUUCUUCGACAAGCCAGGGACCUUGAAAGUAGAGAUCAAUGGAGAAGAGAUAGAGGGCUGAACGUUUGCCCUAAAGACAAGGGCUGGAACGAUCGGUCCACCAGCCGUUUGUGAUCCCUGCUCCGCCCCAGCAUCAGCUGCCAACUCGUCCACCCUAGGGCAUCGUUGGCCACCAUGAUUCAGCAUAGCACAGGAGUGGCAGCGCCCAAGGAGCCUUUCAUACCUGAAUCUUAGGGUUAGGACGUCAGAGGGAGAAACCCUAACCCUACGGUCGAGACGCACCGGAUCAUGGAUAGAUAGAACAAGCCUAACCCGAGCAUCGCCCCUACGCAGCGCCGGACGAUCCACCUCCAGCACCUCGCCAAUUGUCCCACCAACCAACCGGACGGUAGG